CGGGGAGUACCUCAGUUGGUUAGAGGGGUGGUUUUGGGUGCCACCAGCCGCGGGUUCGAGUCCCGCCUCCCCGACCC
RNAcentral lists this transfer RNA (77 nucleotides) under Planctomycetota bacterium. RNAcentral describes it as "Planctomycetes bacterium tRNA-Pro". It matches the Rfam family "tRNA". From Rfam's summary of the family: Transfer RNA (tRNA) molecules are approximately 80 nucleotides in length. Their secondary structure includes four short double-helical elements and three loops (D, anti-codon, and T loops). Lineage: Bacteria; Pseudomonadati; Planctomycetota. The record is from RNAcentral.